UACGUAGGGUGCAAGCGUUGUCCGGAAUUAUUGGGCGUAAAGAGCUCGUAGGCGGUUUGUCGCGUCUGCUGUGAAAACCCGAGGCUCAACCUCGGGCCUGCAGUGGGUACGGGCAGACUAGAGUGCGGUAGGGGAGAUUGGAAUUCCUGGUGUAGCGGUGGAAUGCGCAGAUAUCAGGAGGAACACCGAUGGCGAAGGCAGAUCUCUGGGCCGUAACUGACGCUGAGGAGCGAAAAGCAUGGGGGAGCGAACGG
This 254-nucleotide ribosomal RNA is filed under the name uncultured bacterium. Its description in RNAcentral is "partial 16S ribosomal RNA". It matches the Rfam family "Bacterial small subunit ribosomal RNA", at positions 524 to 775 of the family's 1533-position model. The record is from RNAcentral.